GAUCAUGGCUCAGGAUGAACGCUAGCGGCAGGCUAACACAUGCAAGUCGAGGGGCAGCGGGAUGUAGCAAUACAUGCCGGCGACCGGCGGAUGGGUGCGUAACGCGUAUGCAACCUACCUUAUACAGGGGAAUAACCUUUCGAAAGGGAGACUAACACCCCAUAGUAUUGAUUUAAGGCAUCUUAGAUUAAUUAAAUAUUUAUAGGUAUAAGAUGGGCAUGCGUAUGAUUAGCUAGUUGGUAAGGUAACGGCUUACCAAGGCGACGAUCAUUAGGGGUUCUGAGAGGAAGGUCCCCCACACUGGUACUGAGACACGGACCAGACUCCUACGGGAGGCAGCAGUGAGGAAUAUUGGUCAAUGGGCGCAAGCCUGAACCAGCCAUGCCGCGUGCAAGGAAGACGGCCUUAUGGGUUGUAAACUGCUUUUACAUAAGACUAACCGUAUAUUUGCGAAUAUACCUGAAUGUAUUAUGAGAAUAAGGAUCGGCUAACUCCGUGCCAGCAGCAGC
RNAcentral lists this ribosomal RNA (509 nucleotides) under uncultured bacterium. RNAcentral's name for it is "bacterial SSU rRNA". It matches the Rfam family "Bacterial small subunit ribosomal RNA", at positions 15 to 518 of the family's 1533-position model. The record is from RNAcentral.